UACGUAGGGGGCAAGCGUUGUCCGGAUUUAUUGGGCGUAAAGAGCGUGUAGGCGGCCAUACAGGUCCGUUGUGAAAACUCGAGGCUCAACCUCGAGACGUCGAUGGAAACCGUACGGCUAGAGUCCGGAAGAGGAGAGUGGAAUUCCUGGUGUAGCGGUGAAAUGCGCAGAUAUCAGGAAGAACACCCGUGGCGAAGGCGGCUCUCUGGGACGGUACUGACGCUGAGAUACGAAAGCCGAGGUAGCGAACAGG
Molecule: ribosomal RNA, 253 nt
Filed under: uncultured bacterium
Lineage: Bacteria
Description: partial 16S ribosomal RNA
Rfam family: Bacterial small subunit ribosomal RNA
Source: RNAcentral